RNAcentral lists this ribosomal RNA (496 nucleotides) under uncultured bacterium. RNAcentral describes it as "partial 16S ribosomal RNA". It matches the Rfam family "Bacterial small subunit ribosomal RNA", at positions 29 to 523 of the family's 1533-position model. The record is from RNAcentral.
AUUGAACGCUGGCGGCAUGCCUAACACAUGCAAGUCGCACGCGAAAGGGGGCAACCCUGAGUAGAGUGGCGGACGGGUGAGUAACGCGUAGGAAUCUACCUGGUAGUGGGGGACAACCCGGUGAAAACCGGGCUAAUACCGCAUACGAUCCACGGAUGAAAGCAGGGGACCGCAAGGCCUUGCGCUAUCAGAUGAGCCUGCGUCGGAUUAGCUAGUUGGUGGGGUAAAGGCCCACCAAGGCGACGAUCCGUAGCUGGUUUGAGAGAACGACUAGCCACACUGGGACUGAGACACGGCCCAGACUCCUACGGGAGGCAGCAGUGGGGAAUAUUGGACAAUGGGGGCAACCCUGAUCCAGCAAUGCCGCGUGUGUGAAGAAGGCCUUCGGGUUGUAAAGCACUUUCGGUGGGGACAAACAAGGUGGAGCUAACAUCUCCGCCUCUGAUGGUACCCAAAGAAGAAGCACCGGCUAACCCUGUGCCAGCCGCCGCCGUAA